AAGAUACUAGUAAAAGUAAAUAUUACACUGCCUUGUCAAGGCAGAAUCGUGGGAUAAACGCCCGCGUAUCUUA
This 73-nucleotide transfer RNA is filed under the name Myctophum nitidulum (pearly lanternfish). Its description in RNAcentral is "tRNA-Asp". The record is from RNAcentral. Lineage: Eukaryota; Metazoa; Chordata; Actinopteri; Myctophiformes; Myctophidae.